CAACGCCGCGUGAGUGAUGAAGGCUUUACGGUCGUAAAACUCUGUUGUUAGGGAAGAACAAGUACGAGAGUAACUGCUCGUACCUUGACGGUACCUAACCAGAAAGCCACGGCUAACUACGUGCCAGCAGCCGCGGUAAUACGUAGUGGCAAGCGUUAUCCGGAAUUAUUGGGCGUAAAGCGCGCGCAGGCGGUUUCUUAAGUCUGAUGUGAAAGCCCACGGCUCAACCGUGGAGGGUCAUUGGAAACUGGGGAACUUGAGUGCAGAAGAGAAAAGCGGAAUUCCACGUGUAGCGGUGAAAUGCGUAGAGAUGUGGAGGAACACCAGUGGCGAAGGCGGCUUUUUGGUCUGUAACUGACGCUGAGGCGCGAAAGCGUGGGGAGCAAACAGGAUUAGAUACCCUGGUAGUCCACGCCGUAAACGAUGAGUGCUAAGUGUUAGAGGGUUUCCGCCCUUUAGUGCUGCAGCUAACGCAUUAAGCACUCCGCCUGGGGAGUACGGUCGCAAGACUG
Molecule: ribosomal RNA, 512 nt
Filed under: uncultured Bacillota bacterium
Lineage: Bacteria; Bacillati; Bacillota
Description: bacterial SSU rRNA
Rfam family: Bacterial small subunit ribosomal RNA
Source: RNAcentral